This 497-nucleotide ribosomal RNA is filed under the name uncultured bacterium. RNAcentral's name for it is "partial 16S ribosomal RNA". It matches the Rfam family "Bacterial small subunit ribosomal RNA", at positions 28 to 507 of the family's 1533-position model. The record is from RNAcentral.
GACGAACGCUGGCGGCGUGCCUAAUACAUGCAAGUCGAGCGCUGAAGGGUGGUACUUGUACCAACUGGAUGAGCGGCGGACGGGUGAGUAACGCGUGGCGAAUCUGCCUUUGAGCGUGGGACAACAUUUGGAAACGAAUGCUAAUACCGCAUCAGAACUUUAAACACAAGUUUUAAGGUUGAAAGAUGCAAUUGCAUAACUCAAAGAUGAUCCCGCGUUGUAUUAGCUAGUUGGUGAGGUAAAGGCCCACCAAGGCGAUGGUACAUAGCCGGCCUGGGAGGGUGGUCCGGCCACAUGGGACUGGGACCCGGGCCAAAACCCCUAGGGGGGCCGCAGUAGGGGAACUUCGGACAUGGGCGGAAGUCUGGACGCAGCACGCCGGGGGGGGGAAGAAGGUUCUCCGGUCGGUAAACUCUGUUGGUAGGGGAGAAAGUUGGUGAGGGUGGAAACCUCAUCAAGUGACGGUAACUACACAGAAAGGGACGGCUAACUACGUG